AGGACGAACGCUGGCGGCGUGCUUAACACAUGCAAGUCGAACGGAAAGGCCCGCUUGCGGGUACUCGAGUGGCGAACGGGUGAGUAACACGUGGGCAACCUGCCCUCAGCUUUGGGAUAACUCUCGGAAACGGGUGCUAAUACCGAAUGUAGACAUUGUGCCGCAUGGUGUGGUGUUGAAAGUUUUCGGCUGGGGAUGGGCCCGCGGCCUAUCAGCUUGUUGGUGGGGUGAUGGCCUACCAAGGCGACGACGGGUA
This 256-nucleotide ribosomal RNA is filed under the name uncultured bacterium. RNAcentral describes it as "partial small subunit ribosomal RNA". It matches the Rfam family "Bacterial small subunit ribosomal RNA", at positions 26 to 285 of the family's 1533-position model. The record is from RNAcentral.